This is a small nucleolar RNA of Impatiens glandulifera, 89 nucleotides long. RefSeq annotates it as small nucleolar RNA snoR114. Lineage: Eukaryota; Viridiplantae; Streptophyta; Magnoliopsida; Ericales; Balsaminaceae. The record is from RefSeq and is a predicted model, not a curated record. The transcript has a single exon.
GAACAGUGAGGAUAUAUGCUCCUUUGUGGCUGAAUAGGGUCGGCCUCUUUAUCUGAUUCAUUAGAUGAAAUACAGGUGCUACUGAGUUC